This 254-nucleotide ribosomal RNA is filed under the name uncultured bacterium. RNAcentral's name for it is "partial 16S ribosomal RNA". It matches the Rfam family "Bacterial small subunit ribosomal RNA", at positions 524 to 776 of the family's 1533-position model. The record is from RNAcentral.
GACGAACCGUGCGAACGUUAUUCGGAAUCACUGGGCUUAAAGCGCGUGUAGGCGGGUCGGCGCGUCGGACGCUGAAAUCCCCCGGCUCAACCGGGGAAGUGGCGCCGAUACGGCCGGCCUGGAGGGACGUAGGGGGGGCUGGAACUUCCGGUGGAGCGGUGAAAUGCGUUGAGAUCGGAAGGAACGCCCGUGGCGAAAGCGAGCCCCUGGACGUCUACUGACGCUGAGACGCGAAAGCGUGGGGAGCAAACAGG